RNAcentral lists this long non-coding RNA (970 nucleotides) under Mytilus galloprovincialis (Mediterranean mussel). The record is from RNAcentral. Lineage: Eukaryota; Metazoa; Mollusca; Bivalvia; Mytilida; Mytilidae.
UUGAUAUUUAACAAAACACGUACAAACACGUGCAUAAUCACAGAUACAACCAAAAACUAACAACUUUGAAUCUUUCAAGAUUAUAAUAAAUUAAAUGUUGUUAUUCUAUAUUAAUGCAUAACUAUAUGAUACAGGUUUCUUAAAUAUCUAAAUAUCAAAUUAUCUACUUUACAUAGGCACCUCAGAAUUAUAACAUAACAUUUUGUGAAAUUUAUAACAAGAACGACAUAGAUUAUUCUUUUUUUUCAAAGAUCGAUCCUUUGAAAAAAGUGGAAGAAAUUACGUUACGUAAAUAGAUCUGCCUCAAGGAAAUGUUUUCCGUCCAUAUCACCUACGUUGUGGUGAUGAUCUUGAAUACAAGUUUAUAAAACAAAAGAUUAACAAAGAAGCAUACUUCCAGUGGAAAGCUAUGAUAAUGCGUCAGCUUUGGUUACCAUGUCGAUUGAUUCCACAGCUUAUGUGAUGAUUAUUUGUCAAAAAAUACGAUGCUUAUUUUAUUGUGUUUCAACUCCGAGAUUUGUGCCAAAAAGCAACAGUUUCACAUUUGAUUGCAUAAAAGCAACAAUUUCACAUUUGAUUUUAUGUUUGGAAUAUAAAAAAAGAAGAUGUGGUAUGAUUGACAAUUAGACAACACUCCACAAGAAUCUUUGUUAACAGAUUUAUACACUUUUGUGCAACAUGAUUAUGAGCAAGUGGUGGAGCACGAACGGCUCAACUCCAGGAUCGCUUCCUUUUACCCCUUAUUUUGGUGGGGUUCCAUUUCUAAAUCUUUAGUUUAGUGUGUACUGUGUUUUUAUCUUUGGUUAUGGUGUUGUAUAAUAUACGAUUGAAGAGCCAGUACCCUUUUAUAUGAAUAAAAAUAGUCAAAAGGUGUAACAACUUCAAGUAACAUAACAUAUAACUAAGCUUUCUAAAACGUAAACGGUUUGAUAAACCAUUGAGAACAUUUAUAUCGGUAGAAUGUCAAAAA